GUAUAGCCCCGAAUGAAACGAUAUCCUUUUUAUCCGCUUUAUACGGAUGAAAAGAUUUAGUGUAAAGCGGGACAAAAG
This 78-nucleotide small RNA is filed under the name Flavobacterium sp. ov086. RNAcentral's name for it is "Flavo-1 RNA". It matches the Rfam family "Flavo-1 RNA". The record is from RNAcentral. Lineage: Bacteria; Pseudomonadati; Bacteroidota; Flavobacteriia; Flavobacteriales; Flavobacteriaceae.